CUCAGCAGGCUGAGAUUGGAGAAUUACCUGAGCCCAGGAGGUUGAGGCUGCAGUAGGUGCCAGAUUGAGACUGUUUAAAAAAAAUUGCGUGGGGAAGACAGCUGAGACAAGGAUAUUAAAUAAGAAGACAUUUUAUAAGCCUGGCCAUUUGAAGAUAUAGGCUUAGACCAGUAGAUUGUAAUUUAAAUUUUACUUUUUUAUUUUCCAACUCUUUAAUCUCUAGGAAUAACUGGAAAUUUUAAGAAGUUACUAUCUCUGCUAUGGGGAUGGAUAGUCAGACAGCAAUGUUCACAAAUUACUCUUGAAACUUGAUGCAAACAACCUGUUUAAAAACUGAUGUAACGAGAGGAAUUUCAUGGAUGCAAAUGAACACCUGUGAAAAUUCUUCGGCAAGAACUGUUUCAUUUAGCAACACCAGGCUGUACAGGAGGCAUGGCUGGGGAGGCCUCAGAAAACUUACAAUCAUGGCAGAAGGUGAAGGGGAAGCCAGCACAUCUUCAUAUGAUGGCAGGAACUUUAUAUGUUAUAGAAGUUAGCCCCAAGAAUGAAAUCGUGUCCUUUGCCAAAACAUGGAUGGAGCUAGAGGCCUUUAUCCUAAGGUGCUCUAUGCUUAGCCCAUCAUAGAUUGUGGCCCUUCAUUCCUGCAUUUGAUGAAUCCAGGGAACCCUCUCUCCAACACCCUUGGCCUCUCUGCAACUUUCUAACAUCAGGCAGAGUCAGAGGCACCAUCCCCAGAAGCUACAAAUCUUCAGCAUUCUCCACUCUGUGAAGUCAGAGGAAUGGCGGGACCAUAGCUCUGAGCUCAUUGGCAAAUACAACUAAUUUCAAUUUCUGGAAUGGAAGCAGUCAGAUAUUCUUCUGACUGCACGCGUAUGUGGGAGUGCCAUGUUGAAGAGUGGAAAAUAUGGAAGAUCAGUCCCUACAAACUUAAUAGGAGAAUGACAUUCAGAUUUCCCGAGUAUUUUGCAUGUCCAACUGAAAACUGAAGUAGGUUUAUGAGAGAAUGCACGCCUACCUGGAUGGGUCUGGGGAGUGUGUCACUGUCACCGCAGAUAAUUGACAAGGGCUGAUCAAAUAGCGAUGCUUUCAAGUCUGUCUCCAAAGCCCCAGAAAAAUCUGAUGCAGGGGAGAGCCUUCUCAUGAGAAAGGGCCAGGACAGCACCUUCUUUCUCUUCUUAACUUCUACAGCCAAGAAAACAAGGCAACGAGAAAAAUUAGACUACAGUGUUAAGAAGCAAAGAUCCAGGUAAGAAAAUGGGUAUCGUUGGCCGCAUAAUGUGGUCAAUAGUAUGCGAUGUGAGAAAAAUAAUUUUGAAAACUUGAGAAAGCAAAGGGCGUGAAUCUUAAUCUAGAAAAACCAACCGAUAAACAACCACACUGUUACCAGGGCAACCAGUUCCCUAAACAGCAACACCAGAGUUCCUCAAGGCCUCCACCUUUCCUGUUUUCACUCUUUCCAGCUGUUUGCUACAGAAAAUUAGCAAAACCUAACUGUGCUGAUCAUAAACAACCAUCUUAACCUACUGGCCUGAAUAACUAUAGAGGAAAUUUCUGAUAUGAAAUAGAUUAUUUUGAUUUCCUCCUUUAACUGGCGAAGAAAACGAAACUUAAAAGGUGAGGAAGUGACUUGCUGAAUAUCUUUUCGAAGGCACAUAGCAGGGCUGGCUCCAACCCUUUGCAGCCACGCAGGCACUAAACAGCCACUAGAGGGAGCUAACACCAUUUUUCCUUCCAGGUGACUGGUCACCUUGGGUUUUCCAGGUUGCUGCUUUAGGACAGAGGCAAAUACGAAUCGCUGCGGGAAGCCUUGAACCUAGAUCUGGCAACUGGGAAUUAUCAGCAAAACGUUAUCAAGAUAUUCUGUCCUUCUGAAAUCCACAAGAUGUGUGUGCAAUGGAUAUUGCAAUCUCAAACAUUUCCUUCUUUCUUUUCUUUUCCUUCCUUCCUUCCUUCUCCUUUCUUACUAAUUAUAAAGGCUAUAUUUUCUAAAUGCA
Molecule: long non-coding RNA, 1994 nt
Filed under: Homo sapiens (human)
Lineage: Eukaryota; Metazoa; Chordata; Mammalia; Primates; Hominidae
Description: HSALNT0338080
Source: RNAcentral